Molecule: ribosomal RNA, 690 nt
Filed under: uncultured Bacteroidales bacterium
Lineage: Bacteria; Pseudomonadati; Bacteroidota; Bacteroidia; Bacteroidales
Description: bacterial SSU rRNA
Rfam family: Bacterial small subunit ribosomal RNA
Source: RNAcentral
CAAGUCGAGGGGCAGCAUUUUAGUUUGCUUGCAAACUGAAGAUGGCGACCGGCGCACGGGUGAGUAACACGUAUCCAACCUGCCGAUAACUCCGGGAUAGCCUUUCGAAAGAAAGAUUAAUACCGGAUGGCAUACGAAUAUCGCAUGAUAUUUUUAUUAAAGAAUUUCGGUUAUCGAUGGGGAUGCGUUCCAUUAGUUUGUUGGCGGGGUAACGGCCCACCAAGACUACGAUGGAUAGGGGUUCUGAGAGGAAGGUCCCCCACAUUGGAACUGAGACACGGUCCAAACUCCUACGGGAGGCAGCAGUGAGGAAUAUUGGUCAAUGGGCGAGAGCCUGAACCAGCCAAGUAGCGUGAAGGAUGAAGGCUCUAUGGGUCGUAAACUUCUUUUAUAUGGGAAUAAAGUUUUCCACGUGUGGAAUUUUGUAUGUACCAUAUGAAUAAGGAUCGGCUAACUCCGUGCCAGCAGCCGCGGUAAUACGGAGGAUCCGAGCGUUAUCCGGAUUUAUUGGGUUUAAAGGGAGCGUAGGUGGAUUGUUAAGUCAGUUGUGAAAGUUUGCGGCUCAACCGUAAAAUUGCAGUUGAAACUGGCAGUCUUGAGUACAGUAGAGGUGGGCGGAAUUCGUGGUGUAGCGGUGAAAUGCUUAGAUAUCACGAAGAACUCCGAUUGCGAAGGCAGCUCACUAGACUG